RNAcentral lists this ribosomal RNA (324 nucleotides) under uncultured eukaryote. RNAcentral's name for it is "partial 18S ribosomal RNA". It matches the Rfam family "Eukaryotic small subunit ribosomal RNA", at positions 1470 to 1796 of the family's 1831-position model. The record is from RNAcentral.
CCCUUAGAUGUCCUGGGCUGCACGCGCGCUACACUGAUGUGUCCAGUAAGCACCUAACCUCUUCCGAAAGGAACGGGUAACCUUUGCAAAGCACAUCGUGAUGGGGAUAGAUUAUUGCAAUUAUUAGUCUUGAACGAGGAAUUCCUAGUAAGCACAAGUCAUCAGCUUGUGUUGAUUACGUCCCUGCCCUUUGUACACACCGCCCGUCGCUCCUACCGAUUGAAUGUUCCGGUGAGCUCUUCGGACUGCGCGGUCUGCAGUUUCUGCGUUCAGUGCGGAAAGUUGCGCAAACCUUAACAUUUAGAGGAAGGAGAAGUCGUAACA